UUGAACGCUGGCGGCAUGCCUUACACAUGCAAGUCGAACGGUAACGGGCCUUCGGGUGCCGACGAGUGGCGAACGGGUGAGUAAUACAUCGGAACGUGCCCGAUCGUGGGGGAUAACGAGGCGAAAGCUUUGCUAAUACCGCAUACGAUCUACGGAUGAAAGCAGGGGACCGCAAGGCCUUGCGCGGACGGAGCGGCCGAUGGCAGAUUAGGUAGUUGGUGGGAUAAAAGCUUACCAAGCCGACGAUCUGUAGCUGGUCUGAGAGGAUGAUCAGCCACACUGGGACUGAGACACGGCCCAGACUCCUACGGGAGGCAGCAGUGGGGAAUUUUGGACAAAGGGCGCAAGCCUGAUCCAGCCAUGCCGCGUGCAGGAUGAAGGCCUUCGGGUUGUAAACUGCUUUUGUACGGAACGAAAAGCCUUCUUUUAAUACAGGAGGGUCAUGACGGUACCGUAAGAAUAAGCACCGGCUAACUACGUG
RNAcentral lists this ribosomal RNA (481 nucleotides) under uncultured bacterium. RNAcentral's name for it is "partial 16S ribosomal RNA". It matches the Rfam family "Bacterial small subunit ribosomal RNA", at positions 30 to 507 of the family's 1533-position model. The record is from RNAcentral.